This 463-nucleotide ribosomal RNA is filed under the name Aegista chinensis. Its description in RNAcentral is "partial large subunit ribosomal RNA". Lineage: Eukaryota; Metazoa; Mollusca; Gastropoda; Stylommatophora; Camaenidae. The record is from RNAcentral.
CAAAAACAUAACUAUAUGAUAUUAUAUAUAGCAAUUUCUGCUCAAUGAUAUAUAUUAAAUAGCCGCAGUACUCUGACUGUGCAAAGGUAGCAUAAUCAAUUGGCCUAUAAUUGAGGUCUGGAAUGAAAGAAAAUUUGGGGGAGGACUAUAAAAGAGAAGAAAAGAUAAAAUUGCUUAUCAGGUGAAAAAACCUGACUAUACAUAAUAGACGAGAAGACCCUGGAAAUUUUUAUAAUAUAAUAUAAUUAUAUUAAGGAUUUUUGUUGGGGCGACAAAAUAACAAGAUAACUUAUUUAUAUAUAAUUUGCCGUUUAUGAAUAGAAUAAAUAAAUUACUCCAGGGAUAACAGCAUAAUAUUUAAAAGUUUGUGACCUCGAUGUUGGACUAGGAAUUUAUAGUUUAGAAGACUAUUAAAAUUGCUCUGUUCGAGCAUAUACUCCUACGUGAUCUGAGUUCAGACCGG